CCUACGGGAGGCAGCAGUGGGGAAUAUUGGACAAUGGGCGCAAGCCUGAUCCAGCCAUGCCGCGUGAGUGAUGAAGGCCUUAGGGUUGUAAAGCUCUUUCACCGGUGAAGAUAAUGACGGUAGCCGGAGAAGAAGCCCCGGCUAACUUCGUGCCAGCAGCCGCGGUAAU
Molecule: ribosomal RNA, 169 nt
Filed under: uncultured Rhizobium sp.
Lineage: Bacteria; Pseudomonadati; Pseudomonadota; Alphaproteobacteria; Hyphomicrobiales; Rhizobiaceae
Description: partial 16S ribosomal RNA
Rfam family: Bacterial small subunit ribosomal RNA
Source: RNAcentral